CAAUUCUAUGCCUCCUUUACUUUGAUUCCUUUACUAUCUUCUUAUCAAUUAUUUUAUAAUCAUACAAUAGGUUUUCUUAGCAUAGUACACACCAUUCUACGGUCCAUAAUGGGUAUUUAAUUUCUAGGUUACAUAGUACAGUAGACAGCACAGUUACAGUCAACAGUGUUCGUGUUUGAUGACACCAUCCAACCAUCAUCUAAUGGUGGGUUUCACUUGGGUACGUACAUGUUCAAUCUCUUACGAGGUGUUACCAUCACAGUCAUCUGGCAAAUCCAACGGUGGAUAAGGGUUUCCAUAACAGAGACAUGUUUCAUGGAGUCCACCCCUCUAUUUUAGUAGUGGUGGCAUGAUAUGUAUGAACAUGAAAGUGAAUGGGUUCUUAUUAGAAUAGUAUUUGAUUUGUUUUUUUAGAGAUGAUGGGAGGGAGGGAGGGAGGGAGGGAGAGAAAGGUGCAUGGGGUCGUGGUCAUUUCUGGAACUGAGAAACCCCAGCUGGUAGGGGCGGGUCUGCACCUAUCUUUUGUCUUUUUUAACGUUGGCUUUCCACUCCUUUUACUCUUCUUAAUAUAGCCCCCAUACCAUAUCAUUCUCUUCAUCAUCACCAAUCUUUCUCUCUCACCAACCCCCUUCAAGAUAGGCGAGACUCUUGGGGGAUAAAGUGAAUAGUUUGAGAAUCACCGGCACGCACACACACGAAAUCAAAUUCCAUAUAUCUCCCUCUUUCACUUGGAAGAAUUGAUCAAGAUUUGCUAACAAAGGUAGCUUCUUUUUUGAGGGGAAUGUUGUCUGGCUCGAGGACUUUUUCUUGAUCAAUCUAAUCGAACUUUCUACCUGUAGAUCUAGUAUCUUAUUUAAGAUUGAUCACGUAUUAGGGUUGUCGGACCAGGCUUCAUUCCCCCCAAUCAUUGCUUCCAUCUCAAGGGCUUGAUCAUGGGCUGUUGCAUGUACAGGUUUGAUUUUUAAUCAUCCUUUUUUUUUCUUUAAUUGGUUUUGUAUAUCGUAAUCUUGCUCGGGGUAAAAAACCUGGGAGUUUUUUAAUCAUGAGUUUUUUCAUUUUAGUCUUUAGGGUUGUUGGUAUAUAUGCAGAUUGGUGUAAUCAUGAUGUGUUUUGACCAUGCUGAGAACUAAGAAGCUUCAUCAUUACUCUUUUUCUGGUUUGCUUUUUCUCUGAUCAUGUGAUGAUGGUGUUUUUUCUGUCAGUCUACAACCUUCGAAGGCUCGGCAUUAUUAGGCAGAUUUUUCCCAUGAUAGCUUCAUCAUGUAUCUGAUCUGUCUGUUUGUGCUAUUUUCAGAUCUGGCUUUCAACUUUUGGUGGAAAUGAUACUUCUAUUCUUCUCUCUUCUUACUCGUUCUGUUUUAUAGUGUCUCAUGCUGCAGUUGUUUCUGAGGUUUGGCUCUGAUCUCCAAAUCAAUAUUUUACAGAGAAAAGGGCAUGUGCUGUGUGCAGAUGUACAAGCAAGAAAGUGAUGCGCUUUCUGUCAUUGUUUGAAGAGUCUCUCGAUUAUCUAUAGAAAGAGAUAGAAAACUUGGUGGUACUGAAAAUCUAGACGUACUUGCAUACUCGUGAUAUGAAUUUUGGAUACAACAUUUUGGCUCAGAUAUUUAAAGUUUUCUAUAGUCGUGCCCUUGGUUUCUUUGCUUCCUCUUUCAGAAGAGUUUUGCUGUUUUCUAAAAUCAAAGCUGGAUGUUUGAACAUGGGUAACUUCCUAUGCAUGCCUGCCUGCCUACUUAUGAAGUGUGCUAUAUUCUACCUGUUUCUUGGCCUCUUUUCCUUUGGGUUGAGUAGGGGUAAACAUUAUUGUUGUUGUUAUUAUUAUGCUUUCCCUUGAACUGCUGUUAAAUGCCAAGAAUAUUUUAAAUUGAGAACAAUUAUGUUAUUGCCAGGAGUUUGUGCCCGCGUGUUUUGUGUCACUCUCACAUUACAUGAAACAAUCUGUCUUGGCAAAGUUAUCUCUCGAUUACAUUUCGAAUUCUUUUCGAACAAAGAGAUAUUGUUGUGAACUCCUCAGUUAAAGCCUACUGGUCUAAAGUUACAAGUUCCCAUUCCUGAUAGCUCACAAAAUCCUCUUGUUUCUUAAUUUUAACUCUACUAGCUAGAAAUGAAUGGAUAAUGAUUCUUGUUUCACCAUUUGAUUAUAUAUGCCACGCGUUAAAUAGCAGGUUCAUAAAGUCUCCCCGCAAUGUGGAAUAUGGAUCGAUGUCAUACUUUUCCAGCGUAAAGCUUGAUUGCUUUCUAGAGGAUCAGUAUGCAGUCUUUGAUUUUGUGGGAGCCGAGGGAGGGGGGUCUUUGGCCAUGUUGAUGAAUUCCUAUGAAGGUUUUAAUUAUGACCACAAUUUUCCAUGGUGUGACUGGUAUGUGUACAACUUGACCAAAACUCUAUGAAAACUGUGUGCCAUUGGAUGAGAAGUUGAGGACCUUGUAAGUAUAUAGCUCCACAAAAGUACGUACAAGUGUCACCUAGAGCCCUAGACCUUGAAAAUUACUGAAGGAUCCAAUGAAACUUUGUCUUUCGCCCUUUUCACUCCGCUGUCAGGAGUCAGGACGGAUCAUGGUGUGGAAAUUGGGAAGAUGGUAAAGCUACAAUUUUUUCAGGCACUGUAAUCUUUCCUGUUACAGACAUGAAGUGCAACGACCCCUGCCCUCUCAACCAAGAUUGUCUCUAUGACUUUCUUGUAAUAUCACUGUUGAAUCUACUUUUUUUUUUAAUGGGCAGCACGCAUCCUUUUAUAGACUCAUUGACAAAAACUAUAUUGAACAUGUUCAACGCAUCCAAAAACUCUUCGGAAGCGUUUAUUAUGAGAACAAUAUCUCAAAAUAAUUCUUCUAAUCUAGGAAUAUUUAAUCUCUAUAACGUUUUUAUUUGUUUUAUUAUUGAAUAUCAAAUUCUUGAAAAUCUGGUAACCCUUGUUCUUCUUAUUAAAAGUGGAUUGAUGUUGGCUUAUUUUUACUAGUAAUAAUUGUGAGUGGCGUCUUAUAUUUUAUAUACAUAUGUUAGCCCACAUAUGUAUAUUUGUUUUUGUUGACCUUUAACCCGAGCCUUGAUUGUAUAAUUACCUUUGCUAGCGCAAGAUAUAAAUAAAAGCAAGAGUUGACUGAACUUUCUCAUUACUCUUUCCUUUUUUUUUUCUUUCUCUAAAACGCCAGCCAACUCUGCCUAUUCCCUCUGCAAAAUCUCUUCAAGUUUCUAACCUACAACAAUUCAUCAUAUAAGUUAUUUCUUUUUGAAGGAUGUUUAAGAGUGUGGUGCAUAGAAGUUGUUUUUUUAUCGCACGUGGGCAAGCGACAAUGAAGGGUCAGGAGUCUCCACCUAGCUGUUUGAUUAAGGAUCGCUAGAAAGCCCGGAUGUACUAAUCUUAUCAAAAAUUUUAAAGGUAAGGGAUUGGUUGUGGUUAGGGAAGGUAUUGACACCCUUAUCACACCCUACUUGAGUUAAGCUGCAUUAAGUGAUUUGAAUGUGAUUUAAAUUCACUCAUGCGAAUAAAUAUGGUAUUUCAAAUUUAUUAUGG
This is a long non-coding RNA of Populus nigra (black poplar), 3509 nucleotides long. RefSeq lists it as uncharacterized. The transcript has 3 exons. NCBI's taxonomy places the organism in Eukaryota, Viridiplantae, Streptophyta, Magnoliopsida, Malpighiales, Salicaceae. The record is from RefSeq and is a predicted model, not a curated record.